GACGAACGCUGGCGGCGUGCUUAACACAUGCAAGUCGAACGGAAAGGCCCUGCUUUUGUGGGGUUCUCGAGUGGCGAACGCGUGUGUAACACGUGUGUAACCUGCCCUUGACUUUGGGAUAUCUUCAGGAAACUCGGGCUAAUACCGGAUAGGAGCUCCUGCUGCAUGGUGGGGGUUGGAAAGUUUCGGCGGUUGGGGAUCGACUCGCGGCUUAUCAGCUUGUUGGUGGGGUAGUGGCUUACCAAGGGUUUGACGGGUAGCCGGCCUGAGAGGGUGACCGGCGACAAUGGGACUGAGAUACGGCGCAGACUGCAACGGGAGGCAGCAGUGGGGAAUAUUGCAGAAUGGGAGGAAGCGUGAUGCAGCAACGCCGCGUGCGGGAUGACGGCCUUCGGGUUGUAAACAGAUGUGGAAUGAGACGAAGAGUGAGUGACGGUAAUGGGUAAAGAAGCACCGGCUAACUACGUG
Molecule: ribosomal RNA, 468 nt
Filed under: uncultured bacterium
Lineage: Bacteria
Description: partial 16S ribosomal RNA
Rfam family: Bacterial small subunit ribosomal RNA
Source: RNAcentral